AACAACCACCAGUAUCUUAAACAUGGCUGAUCAAUUUAAACACCAACUACAGGGACAAUUCCCUAAUAUUAUCAAGUAUUUAGUUUGUGAACAACAAACUAUUAUUCAUUGUGGUCUUCUGAGAUUCCCAACGUCCUAAAGAAACAAUAUGUUGCAGGAUCAUAUCAGUUUGUCAAACAGACAAACGGCUUCAUCACAAAGGUCAAAAUAGGCAUGUGAGACCAUACACAUUUC
This is a long non-coding RNA of Osmerus eperlanus (European smelt), 234 nucleotides long. RefSeq lists it as uncharacterized. NCBI's taxonomy places the organism in Eukaryota, Metazoa, Chordata, Actinopteri, Osmeriformes, Osmeridae. The record is from RefSeq and is a predicted model, not a curated record. The transcript is spliced from 3 exons.